RNAcentral lists this ribosomal RNA (478 nucleotides) under uncultured bacterium. RNAcentral's name for it is "partial 16S ribosomal RNA". It matches the Rfam family "Bacterial small subunit ribosomal RNA", at positions 28 to 523 of the family's 1533-position model. The record is from RNAcentral.
GACGAACGCUGGCGGCGUGCUUAACACAUGCAAGUCGAACGGUGAAGCCUUUCGGGGUGGAUCAGUGGCGAACGGGUGAGUAACACGUGGGCAAUCUGCCCUGCACUCUGGGACAAGCCCUGGAAACGGGGUCUAAUACCGGAUAUGACUUCCUGCCGCAUGGUGGGGGGUGGAAAGCUCUGGUGGUGCAGGAUGAGCCCGCGGCCUAUCAGCUUGUUGGUGGGGUGAUGGCCUACCAAGGCGACGACGGGUAGCCGGCCUGAGAGGGCGACCGGCCACACUGGGACUGAGACACGGCCCAGGCUCCUACGGGGGGCAGCAGUGGGGAAUAUUGCACAAUGGGCGGAAGCCUGAUGCAGCGACGCCGCGUGGGGGAUGACGGCCUUCGGGUUGUAAACCUCUUUCAGCAGGGAAGAAGCGUGAGUGACGGUACCUGCAGAAGAAGCACCGGCUAACUACGUGCCAGCCGCCGCCGUAA